CUCCAAGUGUGGCCUAAUUAGUGUCUUAUAAAGCCUCAGCCUCAUUUCUUUGCUUUUAUAUUGAGGUGUUGGGAUACAAGCUGGACAGAGUUUGAACGAGAUAGUUGAUACAUCAUUGAGGUGUUGGGAUACAGGCUGGACAGAGAUUGAACAAGAUGGUUGAUACAUCAUUGAGGUGUUGGGAUACGGGCUGGACAGAGAUUGAACAAGAUGGUUGAUAUAUAUCAUUGAGGUGUUGGGAUACAGGCUGGACAGAGAUUGAACAAGAUGGUUGAUACAUCAUUGAGGUGUUGGGAUACGGGCUGGAGAGAGAUUGAAUAAGAUGGUUGAUAUAUAUCAUUGAGGUGUUGGGAUGCAGACUGGACAGAGAUUGAACAAGAUGGUUGAUAUAUCACUGAGGUGUUGGGAUACAGGCUGGACAGAGAUUGAACAAGAUGGUUGAUACAUCAUUGAGGUGUUGGGAUACGGGCUGGAGAGAGAUUGAAUAAGAUGGUUGAUAUAUAUCAUUGAGGUGUUGGGAUACAGGCUGGACAGAGUUUGAACGAGAUGGUUGAUAUGUAUCAUUGAGGUGUUGGGAUACAGGCUGGACAGAGUUUGAACGAGAUGGUUGAUAUGUAUCAUUGAGGUGUUGGGAUACAGGCUGGACAGAGUUUGAACGAGAUGGUUGAUAUGUAUCAUUGAGGUGUUGGGAUACAGGCUGGACAGAGUUUGAACGAGAUGGUUGAUAUAUUAUUGAGGUGUUGGGAUACAGGCUGGACAGAGAUUGAACAAGAUGGUUGAUA
Mobula hypostoma (lesser devil ray) is the source of this 782-nucleotide long non-coding RNA. RefSeq lists it as uncharacterized. The record is from RefSeq and is a predicted model, not a curated record. The transcript has 3 exons. Lineage: Eukaryota; Metazoa; Chordata; Chondrichthyes; Myliobatiformes; Myliobatidae.